AAUCAACGCUGGCGGCGUGCCUCAGACAUGCAAGUCGAACGAUUAAAGCUCUCUUCGGAGAGUGUAUAGAGUGGCGCACGGGUGAGUAACACGUAAGUAAUCUACCUUCGAGUGGGGAAUACCGUCCGGAAACGGACGCUAAUACCGCAUAAUGCAGCGGCAUCGUAAGAUGACAGUUGUUAAAGAUUUUAUCGCUUGAAGAGGAGCUUGCGGCAGAUUAGCUAGUUGGUAAGGUAAUGGCUUACCAAGGCUACGAUCUGUAACCGGUCUUAGAGGACGGUCGGUCACACUGACACUGAAUAACGGGUCAGACUCCUACGGGAGGCAGCAGUCGGGAAUUUUGGGCAAUGGGCGAAAGACCUGACCCAGCAACGCCGCGUGAAGGAUGAAGUAUUUCGGUAUGUAAACUUCGAAAGAAUAGGAAGAAUAAAUGACGGUACUAUUUAUAAGGUCCGGCUAACUACGUGCCAGCCGCCGCAGUAAC
RNAcentral lists this ribosomal RNA (484 nucleotides) under uncultured bacterium. RNAcentral's name for it is "bacterial SSU rRNA". It matches the Rfam family "Bacterial small subunit ribosomal RNA", at positions 32 to 524 of the family's 1533-position model. The record is from RNAcentral.